This 21-nucleotide unclassified non-coding RNA is filed under the name Mus musculus (house mouse). Its description in RNAcentral is "oocyte_clustered_small_RNA3560". Lineage: Eukaryota; Metazoa; Chordata; Mammalia; Rodentia; Muridae. The record is from RNAcentral.
UUCUGGUUCCGGAAUGAGGCA